RNAcentral lists this ribosomal RNA (253 nucleotides) under uncultured bacterium. RNAcentral's name for it is "partial 16S ribosomal RNA". It matches the Rfam family "Bacterial small subunit ribosomal RNA", at positions 524 to 776 of the family's 1533-position model. The record is from RNAcentral.
UACAGAGGUGGCAAGCGUUGUUCGGAAUUACUGGGCGUAAAGCGCGCGUAGGCGGCUUUGCAAGUCGGGUGUGAAAUCCCCAAGCUCAACUUGGGAACUGCAUUCGAGACUGCUUUGCUAGAGUAUGGGAGAGGGAAGUGGAAUUUCAGGUGUAGCGGUGAAAUGCGUAGAUAUCUGAAGGAACAUCAGUGGCGAAAGCGACUUCCUGGACCAAUACUGACGCUCAUGUGCGAAAGCGUGGGGAGCAAACAGG